RNAcentral lists this ribosomal RNA (1405 nucleotides) under Dolichospermum mendotae CHAB4412. RNAcentral's name for it is "bacterial SSU rRNA". It matches the Rfam family "Bacterial small subunit ribosomal RNA". Lineage: Bacteria; Bacillati; Cyanobacteriota; Cyanophyceae; Nostocales; Aphanizomenonaceae. The record is from RNAcentral.
CUAGAGAUUUGAUCCUGGCUCAGGAUGAACGCUGGCGGUAUGCUUAACACAUGCAAGUCGAACGGUCUUUUCGGAGAUAGUGGCGGACGGGUGAGUAACGCGUAAGAAUCUACCUUCAGGUUGGGGACAACCAGUGGAAACGGUGGCUAAUACCCGAUGUGCCGAGAGGUGAAAGGCUUGCUGCCUGAAGAAGAGCUUGCGUCUGAUUAGCUAGUUGGUGGGGUAAGAGCCUACCAAGGCGACGAUCAGUAGCUGGUCUGAGAGGAUGAUCAGCCACACUGGGACUGAGACACGGCCCAGACUCCUACGGGAGGCAGCAGUGGGGAAUUUUCCGCAAUGGGCGAAAGCCUGACGGAGCAAUACCGCGUGAGGGAGGAAGGCUCUUGGGUUGUAAACCUCUUUUCUCAGGGAAGAAAAAAAUGACGGUACCUGAGGAAUAAGCAUCGGCUAACUCCGUGCCAGCAGCCGCGGUAAUACGGAGGAUGCAAGCGUUAUCCGGAAUGAUUGGGCGUAAAGGGUCCGCAGGUGGCAUUGUAAGUCUGCUGUUAAAGAGUUUGGCUCAACCAAAUAAAAGCAGUGGAAACUACAAAGCUAGAGUGUGGUCGGGGCAGAGGGAAUUCCUGGUGUAGCGGUGAAAUGCGUAGAUAUCAGGAAGAACACCGGUGGCGAAGGCGCUCUGCUAGGCCAAGACUGACACUGAGGGACGAAAGCUAGGGGAGCGAAUGGGAUUAGAUACCCCAGUAGUCCUAGCCGUAAACGAUGGAUACUAGGCGUAGCUCGUAUCGACCCGAGCUGUGCCGUAGCUAACGCGUUAAGUAUCCCGCCUGGGGAGUACGCAGGCAACUGUGAAACUCAAAGGAAUUGACGGGGGCCCGCACAAGCGGUGGAGUAUGUGGUUUAAUUCGAUGCAACGCGAAGAACCUUACCAAGGCUUGACAUGUCACGAAUUCCGUUGAAAGAUGGAAGUGCCUUCGGGAGCGUGAACACAGGUGGUGCAUGGCUGUCGUCAGCUCGUGUCGCGAGAUGUUGGGUUAAGUCCCGCAACGAGCGCAACCCUCGUUUUUAGUUGCCAGCAUUAAGUUGGGCACUCUAGAGAGACUGCCGGUGACAAACCGGAGGAAGGUGGGGAUGACGUCAAGUCAGCAUGCCCCUUACGUCUUGGGCUACACACGUACUACAAUGCUACGGACAAAGGGCAGCUACACAGCGAUGUGAUGCGAAUCUCAUAAACCGUAGCUCAGUUCAGAUCGAAGGCUGCAACUCGCCUUCGUGAAGGAGGAAUCGCUAGUAAUUGCAGGUCAGCAUACUGCAGUGAAUUCGUUCCCGGGCCUUGUACACACCGCCCGUCACACCAUGGAAGUUGGUCACGCCCGAAGUCGUUACCCCAACCGCAAGGAGGGGGAUG